GGAAGUGCAGGGAGAGUACAUCCUGCAGUUUGGAAAGUAUAAAGGGAAAUCUUUCCAGUGGCUUCUGGAGAAUGAAUGUCGGGUACACCAUGUACCUGAUCAAAGAUCUCCAGAAGCAAGAGGCUGCAGGGACCUCUGUGGAAGAAGGACAUGGCAAGGAGAGCUUGCAUUCAUUUGUACAGUAUGCCCUCAGCUUUACAGAGAUAAAAACUCUUCUGAACUACGAGGCCAGCAGAGUGAGUGUUGGAGCAGAAGCCUCUGAGGAUGAUCAGCUGGUUGGCUUUGGCUCAUGAGCCAAGAGCACCUGGAAGGAGAUUUGGGGUGGCAGAGGUGACGGCUAUGGAGACUUUAUCACGAGGAAGAGCUGCAGUCAAGGAACACGGAUGCAUAAGCUGCAGCAGUACGUGCGGAAGAAGCAGCAGUCUGUGUCUGCUUCCACAAAUGCUCCAACUAAACCCCUGGGGAUGGAUGAGGAUAAAGACCUGGAGGACGCAAUGCUGAGCAUCUCACCUGUAAAACUACACAUGCAGAGCUUCACUGUGCCAGCAGCAGCAGAAGGGUCCACACCCAGAGGAUCUUCAGGAGCAAACACAGGUUUUCAAAUGAAAGGUUUCAGAACUGGAGUAAAAUAGUUUUACAUGAAUUGCUCUCCAAAGCUGAGCCUGAACUUUUAUAUAUUGUCUUGUUCUUGUUUUUGUGUGUUCUGGCCACGUUCCGGCGAUGUUCCUCUAAUAGUAUAGUUGUAUGCUGGCUGUAUGGUGGAAGAAAACAGUAAAUAAGGGAGAAACAGUUGAUUUUGUACAUAAGACAGUUUUGUUCUAGUUGUGAAUGUUUCUUUUGUUUAUAUAAAUAAAAACAGAUUGUAAAUAUAAAAGUGUAAAUAAAGAGUUUUCUGCAAAAAUAUCAACACAGUUUUCUUCUUAGAGUUCACCUAUAUGUUUAUAUAUCUGUGUGCUCACCAUCAGGUAAUCAGUUUUAAUAAGUUGUGAGUGCUGGCCUUAAAGCUUACAUACUAUUUCUAAAUCACUUCAUGUAAUGAUAACGAGCCAUCCUUUCUCUAGAGGGGUCUCAUAGCUUUUAUCUUCAUAAUCUUUCUGUUUUCAUUUGUAAUAUUAGAAACAUGACUGCUGUCUUUUAUCUGUGUGACUGUACAGCCUGUUUCAGACAUGACCACCACACAAUGUCUAAAGUUAUCUUUAAUACAUGCAGCACACAGCUGGAGCUGCAGACAGUUUCUCACUUCUGGUGAUAAUAUUUAGGUAUUGCUUGCUAGCUUGAAACUUAUCUACAAAAACAAUUCAAUAAGAAGAGAUCAUGUGGAAAAACUGAACAUGAUUUAUUGAGAUACAGAAAUAAAUCUAACUGUUUGGCAGUUAAGACUCCAAUGACCCAUCAUAGCAAAAAGAAUCCCAGCAGUGACAGGAUUUUGCACAACAACCACCCCAGAGUCAACAUGCUGAUAGUAAUGAAGAUGAAGAUGGAGGCUGGGACAGGGUUCUGAGUGACCACAGUGAGGAGGAGAAAGGAGAGGAGGCGGGCUGCAUGGCUGCGGAUCUGAAACGCAGAAUGGCAGAAGCAGAAGAGCAACAGAUUUAAAGCAUGCAGAGUGGAGGCUGGCAAGAGCAUGACUGGAAUAAAGUAAUGAUGUCAGUACUGAGUUUGUGCUGGAAAAUGAAUAGAUAUAAACUGGCAGCCACCAGGAAGCAGACAGAUGACUUAUUACAGAUCUUCCUUAUUGAAAUUAUGCAUAAGCUUAAUUUUCUAUGCCAACAGAAUCUAUCUGUAUUAUAGU
This is a long non-coding RNA of Oreochromis aureus, 1792 nucleotides long. RefSeq lists it as uncharacterized. Lineage: Eukaryota; Metazoa; Chordata; Actinopteri; Cichliformes; Cichlidae. The record is from RefSeq and is a predicted model, not a curated record. The transcript has 3 exons.